GCCAAGGGGGGCUCCCCCCUCACAUCGCCCGGCAGCCGACGGCGGCAGCUCCCGCCCCGCGGGCUGCGGCGCGGCGUUGUUCCUCCGCCGCCGCACAAGGAAAUUCCCCGCACCCACACUCCUCCUUCUCCUCCUCCCCGCGCGGUCACGCAGCACCGGCGCCGGGCACACGCCCAGCGGCGGGAGCGGCCUCGCAGCCCGCCUCUCGCACACACACACAUAGGGCGGAGGCGGGCCCGGGCGCGGCCGCGCGGCCCCCCCGCCCCGCCGGGACCUGCCGCCCCCCGGCGCCCGCCCUCAGAAGAUGGCGGUUCCCUCCGGAUCCCCCCCGGCUGCGUGAGGGGAGGGGCGGGCGCUCCCAGGGCCGCGUCCCGCCUUGUGAUCUAACAACGGCAACCGGCACGGAGCCGAGGGCGGGAGGGGGAGCGGUGCGGAGCCCAUCUGGUGCGGAAAGCGGCCCCUCGGGCUGCGGGCAGGUAGCGGGGCGCUGCCACUCGCACGUGUCGGCGGCAGAACGGCAUUUCUUCAGCGAGGUUUGCGGUACGGUUUCAAAGGAGCCAAAGGAAAGUCUGAGAAAUGCUGUCACAGUCCCAAGAGGCUGCCCUCCAGAGCUGCUCUCCUCAUGAUGCCUCAGGCUGGACUGGGUUGUGUGGAUCAAGCUGCAGGCCCUUGAGCCAUCUCUACAAUGCACAUUAGAUGGGAGUCCCUCAGGGCUGCCAACAGCUAAAGACUUACCUUGCUGCAGUCCCAAUAAGGCUGUUCUAGCAAUCCUGCUGUACAGAUUGUGUUUCCACUGCAUGAGCUGCCUCUUUACUCUUUGUUGUUAUCCGUAACCACCACAACCUCCGGGUCUCUGCUCUUAUAAACCAUCCUGCUAACAUGAGUGGAGAAGAGCAAUAUCAGAAGGGGGAGACUCAGUCUCUUCUGAGAAAUUACAGAACUACCAUUCAGCCCCAGAAUCAGCAGAGUACCCCGCAUUCAGGUGGCAGGAAUGACAUGGAAGUCAUCUGAAUCAUGUUUAGGAAUGAAGAGACAAAGUGAAGAGAGAAGAUAUGUUUUUGGAUUCAGGAAUUUCUAGGAAAAGAAAAAAAGAAGAAAAGCUAUAUUAUUUUCGGACACAAAGGACCUUUAUUUCUCUCUUAAAUUUUCUGUCAAAGAGAGACUUCUCAAAGUCAGUUGUGAAAACAACAGUGCUCAUUACCCCACUGGAAUUUAUAAGCUGGACAGGGAACCUGAAGGUUGUCUCUCUUCAAAGAGACAAUUCAAAAUACUACAAAACCCUAGGAAAUUAAAUGCAGUUCUGUCUGGCCAGGACCUGAGCAGGAUAGAGGAGGAACUGUCAAAAAAGGGAACUAAAACUGCUGUUACCUGCUUUUAACAUGUAAUAUAGAAGUUCGGAGUUCCCUCACUGCAGUGAGGUUAGGCUUGAAACAAAUAGAAUUGAACAGAAAACAUACCCUGAUUGGUCUCCUGUAGUCAGUCUUCCAAUCAAGACUGAAGCAUGCAAUCAUCUACUUGGUGAAUGUCUGGUAAAUAAAGUAUGAUGGCCUUUAAAGUAGAGGAUAUAUUAAUAAACAGAAGGAGGUCUUCUAGCCUUGUAGGGGAAAAGUCCUCAACUUACUUUUCAAACUUCUAUCAGCUCACCGGCCUCGAAUGGGAGUGAUCUGGCAAUGAUGAAGUGGCUGCCUUGGAUGCCUUUUAGGGACCAUCUUUUGCUUUCUUGGUUGCUUGCCAUAGCCUGAUUACCAGGAAUCCAUGAGAAAUGGUAGGAAAUGUUGGUUUUCUGUGCAGGGUGACUACCUGGCAGUGCAGAAAGGAAUUCUCUUCAGAGAUCGUGAUCCCAUUCUUGUGACCUGUGUGAGCAAGAUCCUGCCCUGUGUAUGUUCCUGACUCUUUUACUCUACUAAUUUGCCACUUCAGACCUGGAAGGUGCCCGAAUCCUCAUACAGGAAGCAUCAUGAAAUCUUUGUAUGGAUAAUGAGAGGAAAAGAGAGUGUAGUCAAAAACUCUAAAUCUUCCUUAGGGUUCACUAGAACAUGGCCUGGCUAUGAGGGGGGAAAUGGUAAAUGAUUUUCAAAGCUUUUUAAAAAAUCAUACAGGACAGUUGUAGGUAAAAACUUAUUUAGAUAAGAGUCCAGUGCAGUAAAAGCACUCUCAGAGGAGAGCUGUUUAUUUUAUAGUCAGUGAGGAAAUCCUGUGUUAUCUAUGGAAAUUAUCUAAGGCAGAAUAACACAAAUGUCUGCAAGGUACGCACGCUCAAAUUGAUUGCCGACCUUUGUCAAUUGAGGAAAGCUUCAGUUCUCUUUCUCACUUCUGAGUCUCACCACAAACUUGUUUUGGCUGUCUUUUGAGGUUACUUAUACUGUUAAUAAAUUUCCAUCUGUACUUGUUUUUUCUUAACAUUACUUCUAGCACUUGACAUACAGAAACGUAGAGUAAAUUAGUAUGGGAGUCUUUGUGGCUUGCAAACUUAAGCCUGAGAGUUACUGCUGGAGAAGGGGGAACUGACAGUAAAUGCUAGGAGUGGACAAAAAACUGUCCCUACUAGUACUGUCUGCACUGUUGCCAUUACAGCUUGCUCUCUUCAUUUCUAAGGCAUUCCAGCAAGGAGGUGCUUUACCAGACAUUUCAGUUUCAGAAUGGAGAUGGCACUUUGUCUUUUAUACCACAGAAUUGUCCAGCUGGAGACAUCUGCCUGAGGCAGUUGCUAACUCUGCCUCCUCUUCCUUGGCUGGUUUUCUAAGGGCCAUAAGGUAGACUAAGUCACAGGUUCCCUUAUGAAGUUCUUGCUCAGCUGCUCGUCUCCUUCUUGGAUGUGGACGUGGGUGAUCUGAGGGGUGUCAUGGAAUUGGGGUGGAUGUGAGCUGUCAGAGUUUGAGGGGUGAAAGGCUGUAGCACUGUCUGGUGUGAUGGCAAGGAAGUGGCCUUUCAGAGAGGUCAGGAGGUGAAGGAAAUGAAGUGGUGAGGACAGAAAGAGAGAAGAUGAAGGAGUAGCACGCAAAUCCUUUCUUGUUCCUCCUACAAAACAAGUCAUGCAAUACAGGACUGCCUGAUGAACUGUGUUUGUGAAAUCUGCUGAAAACUUAAGAGUUGAACUGUCUGUUGAGGGAAACCUGGCCUCAUCUCUCCAGCAUAUUGCUGUGCUGGAAGGUGGCAGACAGGAGAAGACUCGGAAAUCAGAUCAGCUCUAAGAUAUGCAGACCAUUCUCCUUGCAAUACAGAAAAUGUUAAAUCUAAAUCAACAAAUUACUUUUACUUACGCGUUCUUGAGGUUUUUUCGUGCUGGCCACGGGCAGAAGUAGUAAUCAUUCAGGCCUGUGAUUGUUGCCUAUCUCAGUUGCUGCUGGCUAUGGAAAGGGAAUUGAGACACCACAUCACAACAGACAUUUAUCUAUAAAGCAGGCAGUACAGAAAGCAGAUUUUGAGUAGCUAGAAACCCUGGGCUAAGAUGAAUGUGAGUAUAAAAGUCUGUCAUUUGAUGGAGAGAUAUGUUCUACUUAGUUUAAUUAGUGUUGAUUGAUUUUAUUUUGAUGCUCUCUCUGAUUUCACAGAGUAGUGGACCUGUUCCAUCUUCCAUUUCAAACUGUGCUUUGUGCAUCAGGAUUUUAUUUUCAAAACUUCAAUUCAGUUGUGGAUCUGAUUUUAUGAAGUUAUCAAAUAUAAGCACUUUCAGAAUGGUGGGCAGUAGAUUUAGAGUUGUAUCUCUGUCUUAUACUUCCUUUAAUAGCCAGACAACAUCUAGGGAGUUUGGAAAUUUUUCUGUAUGUCAGGGAAUUUUUCUAGAGACAGUUGUCAACGGUUCAAAUCUACUGCUUAGGUGAACUGUCUGCCUUCCAGAAUUGAGACACUGUUCUUCUUUUUCAGAAGCAGAUGGAGUAAUCAUUGUAGCUGAACAUUAUUAAGCAGGCAAGACAGCAAACAUCCACACCAAAGAACAGAGCGUGGCGCAUCUCCUUUGAGGAGGAUAGCAUGUCAUAUCUGUAUUGGUGAGCUAAAUGGUACAAAAGUGGGACACAGCUCCUGCAAAAUGACCACGAAAACGUUGUAGUCACUGGCCUUUAAGAACAGCCAUGCCUUCUGCACCAGUUUUAUGAGUCCAACCUCUCUUUCUUGGUAUUUAGUAAAAGCUUCUGAAAAUGAAACAUUCUGAUUCUAACUUACAAAAUUAAUUUAAAAAAAUUAAACUAAGAAGACCUCUUUAAAAUUUCCUUAGGGAAAAAAAAAUGAAAUAAAAAGUAUUUUGUUCAAUACAAUCAUUGUUCUUAUGUAGUUCAGCUUAACCGCCGAUGUUCUUAACCAUCUGUUCAGGUCCAGUACCCAGAAAUGGGUGAGACUGGUACAUGGAGAUUUUGGCACUGUGUUUAGAAGCCUGUUUUUGUAUGUGGAUCUCUCCCAGAAUGACAGGCGCAUCCUAACUAUGUUCACUAAUGCUAUGGCUGGCACCUCAUUUUGCUAAAUCUAGCUGCCUCAGUCACCGUGACCCUGCAUACUGUUGGUUUGAAUUUAGCAUUCUGUGGGUUUCAAGCAUGCCAUUGUAUUUCCUAUGCUGUCAUCUAAAUAAUUAUGCAGUCUGUUCUCAUUGCAGUUGUCUUAGCAGUACAGCCUUAACUAUGCUUACAUCUUACCUAUUUAUGCACAACAUAGUAGUGAGUCAUUACCCUCCAACACUAGUGCUAUCCAUUUUAAAAUGCAGUCCUAAGUAUGAAAUUGCUGCCAGGCACUUUCUGAAUUCGUGGAAGGGUCUGGCAACGUUCGUCCAGUUGCAGGACAAUAGAUGCAAAGACUGUACUUGGAUAAUGCUCUUCAAUGUUGUUAGACUUGAUAAGAUAAUAGAGUUUCUUAGAGUGCAAUUUUAAUGUUUCUGAGUAUGUUAUGAAAAUAUGUGGGAAACUGUAAACAGAUGAAAAAGCAAAGCAUAAGGAUAUAAAUCAUCUUUGAGAUUAUUUCGGGAAUAACAGAGGCACUUGGCAUUAGAGAAAUGCGCAUGUCAGAAAUGAAUAUAGUUAGAAGCUGAAGGCUUACAGACUUCAGAGAGAAAACAGAAUGAAUUAAAACUAAAUCAAUACAGAAAGAUGUGUAUUAAGUUCCCAGUCUGCCUUAUUACUUACAGAGUUUAGGGAAACAAAAUAAUUUCAUUAAAUGGGCAGGGCUGGGAUAACUAACUGACUUUAACUCUUUGAAGAUAGCAUUUAUAGUGGUAAUAAAAAAUCCACUACAAGCAAAACAUUCUAGCUUUGAACUGUAUCGAUUUAAUCAUUAUUCUACCACUAAAAAGAAGGCAAGAAAAAAACCCAAAUAUUUAUUUAUGUGACAUUUAUCAACGGUAGUGGACUAAAUCAUAAGCACAAAUAAUAAAUCAAAUUAUUUGUGAUUAAUGGAAAUAAUAGGAAAAAAGUCGAAGAGAAAAAUAGGGGUUUGUCUGAAUUAUGUGCACUGUUAAUGUUUGGAGAGUAACAGAUGAUCUGAAUACGGCUUGUGAGUUCUUCAGUAUGUACAAAAGCCAGGAGCAUUUCAACAGAGACCUCUUCCAUUGUUGUUAACAGCAGCUGAUCCCUACCAGGCUUUGUAGGAUUAGUGGACAGACAGUGACAGACUCUAGUAGAAAUGUACCGACCUGUGGAUGCCCCCAAGUUCAAUCAUUUUUUUCUGUAUGUGUUUGAGCAAAGCUGCACAAACUGUUUGAAGGUGUCUGCUAGUCUUUCUUUAGAUGUCAUCAUAUAAUGGCUGAAAGGUAGUGAAAAGCAUUGCUGAAUAUGCAUCUUUCGGUGGCUAAAAGAAAGUAUCAUCAGUACUCAGAGGAAAAAGAGAAAACAAUCUGUUGUUAAAAGUCGAGAUAGGAAGAAAAGGGGGCACAAUCAUAGUGUGCCUUAAAAUGACAAAAGAGAAGAUGCAGCCUCAAAAUAUGGUUUAAAUAGUCCAGGAAGAGCCAACAAUUAGAAUCAAAAGAGAUUUAGUACCGUGUCCUGGAAGCAAUGAAGUUUUUAUGCCUUGGCACAAAAAACUGAGCAUAUUAUCAAUGAAGAGAAAUGAAUUACAUGCCAGAAUGUUGCUUGUUGUGUAGUAGCUUGUAAGUUUAUCUCAUUAAAACUGUUGUUAAAAAAGUCCUUUGUUUAUGUUAAUAUUAACAUUUACAGAAUUGUAAAAGAAUACAAAAAUAAGUAAUAACAACUGAAUUAUGAGUAAGAUUUCCAAUGCAGCAGUGCGUGUGUGCAGUGCAGUUGCAUCCUCUGACAUAUGUAAGGGGCCUAAGGCAGCCCUCAGUUCCUCUGUGUUAGCAUCCCAAGUAGCGGUACAUGAGGAAAAUCUGGCUGCCCUGAACAAACCUGUCCACGUGGGUCAGAGUAAGCCGAGCACAAGGAUUUGUCCCAUACUUCCUCGGGGCAUAAAUGGUGUGUCAUGGAAAGUAUCUUCAUCAUCUUGAGAGCUGAUGCAAUCCUCUCUCUCAUGGGACCGACAGGGAGGCUGCCCAGGAGGUUCAGGCUCUCUGAGCUCAGGUUAUUAAUUGACUGUUAGCUUUUCCUCUCCUAAACUUAAAAAUACCUGAACAGUGUUCUUAUUAAUUUUACAAAUCCUAACCUAAAAUCUUUCUUGCUUUGGUAUUCACACGACUAGUCACACUCAUCUGAAUUAGAUUAUCUUCAUGAAUUAAAGGAGCAGAACUUGAUCAUUAUUUCUGUGUGAUUCAUUAAAGUUUAGGUUAAGAAUAUCUAUAAAUAAUAAAGUUUCUGCAGUUUAAAAUGAGGUUUCUGAGCACCUCUGAGGUGAGGCCACUCUGGUACAUACUGUAAGCAAUCUAAGUUGACAUUUAUAACCUUACCAUCUAUUUUUCUUCUAGAAGAGAAUAAUGAAUUAUGCAAAAAAUUUGAAAUGAAUUCCAGUAUACACUUCAGAGCAGCACAAAUGCUAUUUUAAAAGCCAUUCAGACUUUUUCUUCUUAGAAAAAUCUUUAGGUUUUGGAUAACUUGUUAAGAAAAUACGACGUUGUUUCAUCUUUAACCAAGGAAAAGAAUUAUCGCAGUAAAUUGAAAGCAAUUCAUGAGACUCGAGCAAAAGAUGUGAUAUAAAAUGCCAAGGAAAUUGCAUGAUUUCCAUUCACAUACUUUCAUUAUCUUUACACUAACAGAGGAGAAGUUACUUUAUUUCCAAAGAUAUCCUCUUAUAAUAACUCGAAUGUUAUUAUAAGUGCACGGUUGUUUUCAACUAAAGGUAAAAAUAAUUGGCUUUAUGACACCAGUCUUAGAAAAAAUCAAGGUGGGAGGAAGUCCUUUAAUGCAUGAUGUUGAAUUAUUUGGUCACAAUGGUUCAAGCUUGAGUAGUUCUGUAUUUGCUUUUCCACAGAAUCAGAGCAGGGUGGGUGCACUGCACUAUUGAGAGCUCUUCGCUUCCUACACUUAGUGGCAGCUUCUUUUUAAACAAUCGAGACAUUACACUUUUCCCAAGUAGGAAAAGAAUCAACAUAGCUGCAAACAGUUAUUUAGUUUCUAUAACUGUACUCAAAAACUGGAAUGUAGAAAAUGAAAAUAAAAAUACUUGGUCCAUACUUAUAGUCCAAUUAUAUGCAACAAUUGAUGGAAUCCCAGAAAGUGCUGUUAAUGUUCACAUACAUAUAUAAUGAGAUUUAAAGUGCCUAUAUGUUAAAUAUGUAUCAUACUGAUGGGUUCUUCAUAAAUGCAUAAGAGAGAGAUUUAUUAUUCAUAUCACUUCAGGACUGUACUGGAUUCUGUUCAGUAAAAAGCAGGACAAUGUGCUUUCUUCCUCAAAGAACAUAAAGCUCCACUUAAACAAACUGGUGGGAUUCUGUACCUUUAAAUGUGAAAUGGGCUGUUUUUUGGGGCUGGGAUAGUAUGCAAAAUAUAAGGUAGCCGUAAUUUUUAAGGUUUGUGACAUAUUAUGCAUGGUUGAAACUGUUAUAUCUAUUCCUAUAUGCAUUCAAUUAAAUAACUCAUCUUCAGUGAUGUAUUCUAGUGUACUCCUGGGAACAAAUCCAAUGUCUUUAGCUAUCUAUUUUACAUGAAAGCAAUUAUUGUAAUAUCUCUAAUGUCUAAGUGGUAUUGUCAUGAGUGCUAUUUUAGCCUGGUCCAAAGUAUUUAUUUAUAUGAGUUUAUCUAUCUACUCUUCAAAUUUAUUAUGCUUUCAAGAAUAUCCACAGAGUCACAUUAGCAUUUUUGUAUCCCACAGCCAAAUGUUCAAGCAGAAUUGAAUAUGACAUAAAUAAUCAGAGCUCUCGUCUUCUGUUUACAUAAAAUGACCUCUUGCUGGUGCUUAACCUUUCCCUUUUCUCAUCCUAAGUUCCCUGCGACAGCCCAUGUGAGUUAUUUCUUCUAAUUCUCUGUUUCUCCCUUGUGCUGUGUGAUGCUAGUUCAGAUCUGCUGUAGACUACAGCCGCUGUUUUGAAAUCUCUGGGAAUGUGAAUGUUAUAGCAGUCUGCAGAAGAAAAGUUCUGUCUCAUGUUGCUGCAGAUUACCGUUAUCUUACAGCAGUAGUAAAAUGUGCCCACGAGCACUGAGUGCUCAGCUGUGCCACUGUUCGACUCAGUGCAGUUAUCCUUUGUACAGUUCUGCUUUCCCAGAGGUGCAGUGGGGAUAACUGUCUAUUCCAGAGAAGUGUUUAGGCCUUAUGCACUGAUGUGAUCCUUAAUGUUACAAAACAAUAUGUCAUUUUCAUAAAUCAUUAUUAGCAUGGCCACAGAAGGUGCUAUUUUUGUGUAAAAUUCCAACCAACUGGGAGGUAGCUAAACAUCCUUAUCAAUACUGUUGUCACCGUCAUGGAUUAGUACCAGUGGCUCGCUUCUGCUAGUUGACUUUGUAUUUAACAGCCUCUGUGAGCUCUUCAACUUUGACUUGGUGAUGCUUUGGGCUCACUUUGUAAAGGGAAAAUAGACAAAAUGGAAUGACAUGGCAAAACACAUACUUGAAUGUGAAACGUAGGAAUGGGAGAUAUGCAGUGAUUCAGUUGGCAGAGUUUGGUGGGAUGACCUGGUUCUUUUUUCAUUUGGGUGACGUUGCCAUAUGGGCAGAACAGCCUAAUUUGUUAAAGAUCUUUAAAUCUGGAGACCUUGUGUAGGAGUCUUCUGUUGGAAAAACAUGCAGUUAGCCUUUCUUCCUACAGAAGGCUGCAAACUGGAAUUCGGUCUACAGCUGAAUCAGCCUUAGUGACUCAGAAUCAAUGGGAAAUACACUUCUGUUAGCUCCUUUGAUUAUCAAAAAUGUUAUAUUUUCAUUCUAUAUGCGAUGUGUAUUAUAAAUAAUAAAUGUUUUAUCUCUGAUUUCAUGCAAGAUUGUACAGCUGAAUUCCAGAUUUGUUUGCUUUUUUUUUCCUAAUAUCUGUGAGAUAAAUUCUUAACUCUAGUCUGCAGCAAGAGUGUCUUGAAUUAAGCUUCCUUGGGCUGGUCACGUUGGUGAUUUUCAACUGAAACAAUAGUAAACACACAUUGGAGUAAUCAUUAUAUAUUGAUAUAUUUUAACAUAAUGGAAAUUAUUAUUUAUUUAGUGUUGCUGGAGGGGCUAAAAUGCUAUAAAUAAACAGAAGGGAAGACGAAGAUGAAGGGAAGUCAAGUCUCCAAUGCUACAUUAAGCAUGUUUGAAAUCUCUGCAGAAUUCAGAUGAGAAGUGAAAGGUUUGCUUUGUAAUAUUCCUAUCCACUUGCCCAAAGUCCUGAACUAUAAUAAAAAAUGGGGAUCUAUCAGCACAUUCAGCAAGUCUGAGUAUGUUAUUGUGGAUAAAGCAUUAUGGAAUUUCUCAUUUAAAUUAACUGUAAGAAGUUAAGAAGCAGCUGAAACAACACCAAGCUCCACCCAAAAUUGACAUGUACCAGCAGAGGAAUUUGUUGGGUAUUGUUUUGAUCUUGUUUUCUCAUCUCCUACAAUUACCUUAUACGGCCAAAUGAGGUCUUGCAGGUAGUGUGGUAAAAUGGGUUUGAUUGACAGAAUAAUUACUGGAACCGUUCUGGUGGGAUCUUAAAGGGCAGAGAAUGCCUCCAGAAGAACUCUCCUGAGACUACUAGCUCAUUCAGUACGCUGAAGGACAGAAGAACAGCAUUAGUUCAUUGUUGGAUGAUAAACUUAAUGUUUUAGAAAUGUUAUGAAAUCUGCAGAAUAGGGCCCAGCUAAUUAGGAUUGUAUUCUGUCUAUAAAAACAGAAGUUACAAAAUACUUCUUUUCUAGGUAAAUAAGAGUAAUUCUUUUUUUAUGUGAGUAAAUUUAGUUAAAGCAAAUUAAAAGUAAUUAAAAGUAUAAUUAAGCAAUUCCUCUUUUGAAGGCAAAAGAGGAAUGCCAUUUGUAGUAUGGCUUGCAGGGCUGUCUGGGCCUCUGAUUUCUGAGCAAGCAUCCUUUCAGUGUAAUAAGAGGGGGCUCUGAUUAUAGCAAUAUUCUUAACUAAAUCCCCAUAAUCCUCUUCCAUAUUGAAUGAAUCUCCUUAGAGGUUUGUCUGCUCUAGGAUGCAAAUGCAGUGUCACGUACAACUUAUAGCAUCAUCACAAAUAGGUAGGAGUGGCACAGCCCAUCGGUUCUUCCAAGACUGUACCUCCAUCAUUCCUCACAGGCUGACCGGUUCUUUAGUACUUCAAGUGAGGAAGACUGCAAUUGCUGCAAGCAGUUUGUUCCAGUGCUCUUCUGCUCAUUGUUAGAAAGUUCUGAAUACUGUUACGAGGCUUUCCUUAGUCUUUCCCUCCAGAGAGUAAAUAGUCCUUCUAGUCUUUACGUUUCUAGACUUACAGUUGGGCUGAUUUCUCCAUUAUGGAUUCUGUCAAGAAGAUCAAGUCUUCUCUGCUUUCACUGAAGUUGGAGAAAUGAUGGAGAAUUUGCACUUGCAGCCAAGAUAUUGCCACGUUGUCAGCCACUUUCUGCACAUCUGCACCUUCCUCUACACUGACCACCCUCAGCAUCUGUGCCCUAAAUAGAGCAGUCUGCAUUUUCUGGAAGAUUUCCUCUGCUGCUGAAAAAUACUUCCUUUGAGGAGCAGCAGAUUGCAGGGGUCACUGCUAGAUAGAACAGAUGCAGCAGAACAUGAUGCAGUGUGGUUAAAUGGAUUUUAACCACUGCUCUUGUUCCUGUACUCUGUCUUUCAGCUUUUUUUGUUAUGCUUUAACAAGUUCUGUUACACUUUAAACAGAUGUGAGUUGUAUCUACACUCUUCUUUUGCCAAACAGAACGGUGGCAAUAAUAAUUUCGGGGUCUAUUAGGGCAGUGUUGGAAAUAACCAAUGAAAUAACAGCCUUUUGAAUAUAGGCAAAGGCUGGAGGUGUGGGAUGCAAAGCAAGGCAAGUGUCAUUAAAAAAAGACUGGGAGCAAGACUUGCUGAAAACAGUUGUUUAUUGCUUUCACUCCAGCAUAUGCGUAAUUUCACAGCACAGCAAGCAGCAGUCAGGGAUUUUGCAUAAAAGAGGCAGUCAGAGCAUUCUGCACAAUUUGCCCCUCCCAUUUAUCCCGGGUGAGCGACCAAGUUGUGGCAGGCACAGGUGGUGACCAUUGCUCUGUUUGAGUUUCUCACUCUCCUUGUUGUGCCAUCUGCUCCUCUUUGCUCCUGCAAACACCGUGCAGGGGACAGCAGAGAAGCAGAAUCCUGAUAAGGCUAGCCUGAAAUCUGACUCCCGUCCUUAAGGGCUAUUUCUCUGGCCUUCAGGUGGUCACACAUUUUUAAUAGCUAAUUUCCACAUACAUGGAGCUCAGCUCACAGCUACGAGACGCCUCUGUUUUCAUGGGACAAGAUGGUGGUCGAGGGGAACUCCCUUUAUCUCCUCUGCUAGAAUGAAUUCUUCACAGCCUUAGCAGUCAGCUGAGCCCUCUCUUUUUACAGUGCUCUGAUACCUGAAGGUAUUCUGCAUCUAGGCUGCUGUGGUCUCUCCCUUCAACUCCAGUUGUACGUUCCUAUCUGCUGUCAGCCAAUAUCCUUUCUGUGCCUCACAAUGUCAUAUUACCUGCAGAUUUCAUAGAAGCAUUUUUUAGUCCAUCGUCCAGAUUGUAAAGGAAACUUAGGAUGAAGCAAGACCUGGGCCAAAUUCCCGUGGCCCCAAACCUAAUAGAAAGCUGUUGCUUGAUUAGUCCUUCAAUUUUAACAGUUAUCUGUUAAUAAUUACUCUUAGCAUAUUCUUAUCCAAAUACUGUUUUGUCCUGCCUUCCAUUACUUUCAACCAAAUGUCUUUUAAAAGACAUGCCUUCCAACUGUUCCCCACCUUCACUGUGUUAAUGGGUUUUUGAUUUCAUAUACAAAGUUGAUGGACGCUUUCAGUGACAAAUUAAUUGACCUCUGAAAGCAGCUUAUUUCUACAGUUAAGGCCACUUGAACACAUGGUAUCUAAUGCUUGCGCGUACCAAGGAUGUGGAAUUAAUAUGGUGAUUUCACAAAAUACUGACAGCAAGUAAAUUACCUGCCACUGGACUAUGUUUUUUGUUAUGUCUUGCAGAGCCUGGAGUUCAGCAUCUUCCCCUACCUUUUCUUUUGAAUCUGCAAAUGAAAAAGAUCUGCUGGCUUAUUUCACAGAGAAGCAUAAAAGUAAAGCCUCCUUAGCGGUGACUGUGCUCCAUAGUUUUGCAACCAGCAAGGCUGUUUGUGCCUUACUUCAUGGAUUUGGAACAUGCCUGUGGCGUACCCAUGGCAGUAAAGCUCACAGUGUUAAAGCAAUAGCUGUGUUGCACACAUCAGUGAGCAGCUGAGGCUGCAGAGCCCACUGCUCCCAAAUAAGCCUUUAUAUCUACAUGCAGUAGUUUAUGUGAUGUAACAUCAUCAGUGCUGUUCUUUAAAAUACUAUGAUGUUUUUUCUGUUGUCUCAUCAUCUUACAGCUCCCUGCUCUCUGUAUGCAGUUGUCACUAAAGUGAAGGAGGUGGCUGGUGACUGUGACCUCAUGGGUACUGUCCAGUUAGCCAUUCCUUGGUGUGGUAAAUUGAAGGCCAAGAAAAAGAGGAAAGCUUAACUGAAGGCUUAAGACCAAGGACAAUUCAAUUCUGCACAUAAAACAGUCGCUGCCUUCCUUUUUGCCCGGAGGCCACCGCUUGCAAUCUGCCUGCAAUUACCUGUGUCUAGAGGCAGCUUCGGGUUUACUUAGUGAGAAGGUGUUAUUUGAAGUGUGCACACGUGUGCCGCCAACCUUGACUACACAAAAUCUCCUUUACACAUAAGCAGACAAUCAUCUGGCACAGUAUAAAACCCUUAAUUAGCUUAUCGCAAUCACUUUAAGGUGAGUGAAGAAAUGUUUUCUAUCACUGGAUAGCAUUUGUAAAGUGAUACGAGUUCACUGUGCUGAUUGUAGUCAGGUCAGCUCUGAGAUGUUGUUCUCCCUUUUACUAUACAAGGGAGAAAUUGCUGAAAUCACCAGACUUUUCCAUUGUAAAGGAAUUGUUUUGCUGCUUGUGAUAAAGAAGCCUCUGUAGUAAGUUGGAUAAAAUUAGGUCACAGCAACAUGCAGUCAGUCUCCAUGUCUGCCAGAUAUUUCAGUUUUGACCUUUACUGUCCACAGCACUGGCAUUAAUUAUAAGAGAGUGUUAACUACUUUUAGUCUUCACAGAAGUCUUUUAGCCAGACUGCUUAUUAAUAUUAACAUGGUGUCUGUUGGUAGCUCAGCGUAGUUUUUCUAAGAUUGUUUGGAAUGUAUUACCGUGAUAACAACCAUCCAAGCAGUGCUAGAUAUUACAUCUGGAAAUCACUUAGCACAAUGAUGCUAUGUCCUUGUGGUAGAGAAUUCUCUUUGCCCUGCGCCUUGCUAUGGAAAGCAUCUGGCUACAAAUACAAGGUAAAAAUGGUAACACUCUGAUAUUUACUAUUUUGUAUUCACUUUCUGGGUUAUGAAUUAGUAACUGUUCUGGGGCAGUGAUGAAAAUAACUUCAGACAGAAAGACAAUAAGUCUGCGUCUUCCUGUAUGGCUGGCUGGAAGUCUGUGAUGUGUGGUGCUGCAUAUCUAAUUGUGGCUUAGCACUUUGGGAAACUGCAAGAGAACUUCCUGAAAGAUGUUGAUCCUGCCCUGCUACAUGGAAGUAGUAAAGAAAAAAUGACAGGAAAGACAAGAAGGUCCAGGUUGCCCACGGAAGGCUGCUGUCUUGAAACAGAGAAACUCAAUCUGUCUGCACCUGGUAGGAAUAGAUCUUUCACCAAAUAGUACAAGAUCUUUUAGAAGAUGAGUGUCUACUGGGGAUGCAUCAGAUUAUUAUCCCUCAGAAGCAUGAAGAAGAUCACAGGAACAAUACGGGCUGCAUGGGAGGUCCUCCACAGUAUGCGCUGAUUAAAGAAAGAUGUGUGUGUGUUUCAUUCUAUUUUUAUUGCCUGAAAGAAGAAAUAAAACACAUAAGGAAAACAGAUUCCUCAGCUUAAUGAAAUCAACCAUUGGCCUUAAUGCCGAGAUACCUGCCCAUCAUCUAAUCGGUGAGAAGUUCUGUGAAGCAGACAGCUUCUGACACGGCUAUGGCAGUGCCAGCCAACUCUUGCUUAAAUAAAGCAGCCAAUAAAGCUACAUAAUUUAAGAAUUUUUCUAAGUUGCAGGAUUUUCCCAGUCACAGCCUAUUUUUUGUAAAGCAGAAGAAGUAGGAUUAUUAUUAACUACUACUGUAGGUUACCACCCUCAUGCCUUUUAUGAAUAAAAUCUAACAUUUCAAGCUUUAACUCUUUUUUUUAGCUCCCAGGAACUGUGGUACACAUUUUAGUAAAUACCCUUUCAGUAGCUCUUCCUUCAGAGACAUCUUGGAUACUAAUGUCACAUAUUUAUUGCCAGCACGUACUUGCAACAACUUGCAAAAAGAUUUAGGCAUUUGACCACGGCCUAAAUUUAAUGCAACUUAAGAUAUAAGUAUCACUAGUUUGAGCGUUUGCAAUGCAUUUGAGACAACUAGUUUUUCAUCAUUUGUUUUUAUAGGGUUCCCUACAGAGACUCAUUUCUUUCCCCAGGAGUAACGGAGGUUGUGAGUCAGGUAGGCCUGCCAGGGUACAUAUGAGCAUACAGUCAAGAGAUGAGAAGAUUUACUUUGGAAACAUAAUAGAGAAAAACAGCAAAACAUCCUUUUUGGUUGUUACUUGGGGGAAGAAGUUUUCCUUCUUUUCCUGAGCCUAGGACAGCAGUAAGGGGAUGGGCUCAGGUGAAUUUGGAUGCAGCUGGAGAUAGGAAAGAGUUCUGAAGGCCUCCUAGGUGUGGUGAUGACCAGGCUGAAGCCUUCUGCAGGAGGAGCAUGAAUUCUGAUCUGUGGAGCAAAAGGGCUUCUUACGAGCUACCUAAACUUUGUUUUCCCAUUGCAAGUCUUGUGACAGAUGGAUGAGUAGUCAGAAGGGCAGGACUUAAAGCUCUAAAUCUAAGAAUUAUUCAAGAUGUGUCCAAGUGAGAUUUGCAGUCCACCAAAGAUGUCUCUUGGAGUCCUACGUUGCUGAAGAGCUGCUCAUGAAGCCUGUCGCCAGUUCCAAACAGGUGGCCUCAGUAUGACAUAAUGGCUCAGAGUCUAGGGCUGAGAAAGAGCAAUUCCAGAAAAUAUAUAAAUAGAGUGGAAUAAUUGGCUGGAAGGGAAGCAGUGCCCUACAGCACUUGAGGUUGUCUCACAUUUAUAUUUAGCUAUUCAGAGAAAUCCUGACAAAAGUUAUGUGAAAGCCAUAUAUUUUCCAAGAUAUCGUCUAUAGAACAGUAGAAAGCUGCAGUAAGUAGAUCGUAUGCACAGCUUUUCUCCUGAUGAAAAAUUUGGUAUACCACCACUGACAGAGCAUUUUGAGUGAGAGUGUGAAACUCCUUAACCUUUUGGUACGACCCAUUCUUGGUCAACAAAAAGGGUGUGUUUCCCAUCAUGGUAGCUCAAGCUGGGGCAUAUCUUGGUGGAGACCACAGUGCUACGAGGUGUCUGAUAAGUGUUUGGUGUGGUGUCUAAAUGGAGAUGGGGUUAGAAACAGAUUGCUCUGUUUCAAUACUCUCUCAAAUGGAGUAACAUCAGGUUAAAAGAAGGAUGGUGCGCUGAGCAAAAGGCACGUCUCACUGGGUAACUGUUUUCACAGUUCCCAUUUCGUCCACUUCAGUAUGAUUUAAAACAAAACCUGCUGAGGCAAUUAAAAAUUCUGUUACAGAAUGCUUUCCCAUGUAAACUGCUGCCUCUGUAAAACCAAAAUGUUUUGCUGCUCUCCUACCCAUGAGUUAAUAUUUGCAGUGGAAAAUUACAAAAAGAAAAAAAUCAGAAUAUUGUUUUCUUCUGCCUCCUUGAAAGGUUAAUGUGAUAAAGAAAGAAAUGCUUCAUUUCAGCGUUACAGUGCUUUCCUAGAACUUUUACAUUUAUGCUAACAAUUUGAAUAUUGUAGAAUUUUUCACUUCAGAAAAAACUCUUCAUUUUGUCCCAAUUCAGGGCAGAAUAAUAAAAAACUCUGUCUGUGAUUUUGACCACUUCUAAUUGUUUAUGGCCUGAUCAGCAUCUGCGUGUGAGCAUAGCUGCUUUAUUUUCAAGCAACUUUGUCAGCUCGUCAAGGAAACUGUCAGGUGAAUGGGGAAGACAUAAAAGAUUGAUAUUUGUAGAGCUCAAUCCCCAAUCAUCCUGAGCCUGCGACAGCAGCUCACAAGGCAGUCUGACCCUGAAAUGAGUACGUGGGACAGCUGGUUUGCUGUCCAUCUGGAACAACGUCCUCUGACAUUUGGGACAAAGGAAUAUUGAAAGCACAGCUUGCUGGAUGUGUGACUUAAGUGGCAGUAGUGCUCAUCACACAGCUGCAGUUCUUGACUUUCCUGCUCCUCCUUCCCUAACCUCCCUCUCCCAGGACAAAAAGCAAAGGCCAUUACACCCCAGUUGAUAGCCUGGGUAACUGUUAGGAUAUCAGGAAGGGAGAGAGCUUCAGGCAGAAUGUAGUGCAGUAAGUAACCUUUGUGGCUGACCCAUCCUACUGAGUUUAUCUGAUGCUGUUUGUGGGGGUUUCCAAGGACUCAGACUUGCAUUAACCAGGACCACCAGCUGCAGUUUGGCCGUGCCUGGCUGCUGCUGCCAGUGGCUGCCACACGAAGGACAUAGCUCUUUCUAAAGCCCCUUGCAGUUCUUUAGACACCAAAGUAUCCUGUUCGUUAUUACAGUGUGUUCUUGUGUGUGCAGGCAGAUGUAAAGAGGUAUAAAUACUUUUCAAGUAAAUGUGAGAAACUGGGGAACAUCCUUUGUAUUCACAAUUGUCUCUAGUUUGUUCCAGCAUACCUCCAACAUUUAUUUAAACUUACAAGCUACAGAAACAAACAGAACCAAAGAAACAAAGCAGCACCCAAAACGAACAAAAAAAAACCCCUAAAACUCCUGAGGAAAGCAAACUAGAUUAGUUAUCUUGCUUCCAAAAAUCACCUAAUGCUUUUGUGCUAAAUGGUGCCAUUUAGGAAGCAGGAGCUGGGGGCUUAUCAGGAAGUCAUGCAGAUACCUUUUCUCUGCUUCUUUGGCAGAUCUUGUGGAGACACGAAGAGAUUUGCACAGACCCUGAAAAUAGCUGAUUUGUCAGGACAACGUGAGGGAUAGUGCAGAGUUAAUCAAGUGGAAGGGAAGUACUUGCCAGAGUGCCUAAAAUACACAACAAUUCUACAAUCUGAGUUUCUUAGAAAUACAGAAGUUUGGUUUGGUUUUUUUUUUUACCUUUUAUUGGCGUGAUGAUUUAUUGCUCUGCCUGGAGCAUUAUUCACAAUGCUUUGAAAUCUAUUUUAUCAACUGUUCAGAGCUCUGCUUUCAGAUAUAAAGUGCAGUUGAAAACCAAACUAAUGCAAGGAAUGGUUUCAGUGAUGGGUAGAGAGAGCAAGAAUUGCCCAGGACACUGGAAAACCUUCCAUUCUGCUGUCAAAUUCCUCAUGUAGCCAAACAGGAAAGCAGAAGCUUUUAGUGAGUAUAAAUUAGCCUGGCAAGAAUAACUUUAGUUACAGUACAGCCACAAGAAAAUCGUAAGUCUGCUUCAUCCUUCUCCAAAAGUUAGUUCAGUUUUCCUCUGAGAGACGCGUAUUAAAGAUUCCCAGAACAAUUCUGUGUCCUAUUUCCUAUGUAGGACCUUUUGUCAAAACUAUUCAUUGC
Molecule: long non-coding RNA, 17970 nt
Filed under: Gallus gallus (chicken)
Lineage: Eukaryota; Metazoa; Chordata; Aves; Galliformes; Phasianidae
Source: RNAcentral